GCUCCGGUGGUGUAGCCCGGCCAAUCAUACGGGACUCUCGAUUCCGUGACCCGGGUUCAAAUCCCGGCCGGAGCA
RNAcentral lists this transfer RNA (75 nucleotides) under Archaeoglobus veneficus. RNAcentral describes it as "tRNA-Glu". It matches the Rfam family "tRNA". From Rfam's summary of the family: Transfer RNA (tRNA) molecules are approximately 80 nucleotides in length. Their secondary structure includes four short double-helical elements and three loops (D, anti-codon, and T loops). Further hydrogen bonds mediate the characteristic L-shaped molecular structure. tRNAs have two regions of fundamental functional importance: the anti-codon, which is responsible for specific mRNA codon recognition, and the 3' end, to which the tRNAs corresponding amino acid is attached (by aminoacyl-tRNA synthetases). tRNAs cope with the degeneracy of the genetic code in two manners: having more than one tRNA (with a specific anti-codon) for a particular amino acid; and 'wobble' base-pairing, i.e. permitting non-standard base-pairing at the 3rd anti-codon position. The record is from RNAcentral. RNAcentral also lists the same sequence under 6 other names. Lineage: Archaea; Methanobacteriati; Methanobacteriota; Archaeoglobi; Archaeoglobales; Archaeoglobaceae.